Molecule: ribosomal RNA, 497 nt
Filed under: uncultured bacterium
Lineage: Bacteria
Description: partial 16S ribosomal RNA
Rfam family: Bacterial small subunit ribosomal RNA
Source: RNAcentral
GACGAACGCUGGCGGCGUGCCUAAUACAUGCAAGUAGAACGCUGAAGAGAGGAGCUUGCUCUUCUUGGAUGAGUUGCGAACGGGUGAGUAACGCGUAGGUAACCUGCCUUGUAGCGGGGGAUAACUAUUGGAAACGAUAGCUAAUACCGCAUAACAAUGGAUGACACAUGUCAUUUAUUUGAAAGGGGCAAUUGCUCCACUACAAGAUGGACCUGCGUUGUAUUAGCUAGUAGGUGAGGUAAUGGCUCACCUAGGCGACGAUACAUAGCCGACCUGAGAGGGUGAGCGGCCACACUGGGACUGAGACACGGCCCAGACGCCUACGGGAGGCAGCAGUAGGGAAUCUUCGGCAAUGGGGGCAACCCUGACCGAGCAACGCCGCGUGAGUGAAGAAGGUUUUCGGAUCGUAAAGCUCGGUUGUAAGUCAAGAACGGGUGUGAGAGUGGAAAGUUCACACUGUGACGGUAGCUUACCAGAAAGGGACGGCUAACUACGUG